Molecule: long non-coding RNA, 1721 nt
Filed under: Anneissia japonica
Lineage: Eukaryota; Metazoa; Echinodermata; Crinoidea; Comatulida; Comatulidae
Description: uncharacterized LOC117117069, transcript variant X1
Source: RNAcentral
CCAUUAGCUCUUAAUGCUCUGUUAAUGUGUUGUUAUUUACUAGUUUUAUCACUUUGAUCUGAGCAUUAACGAUCGUACAACUGACCACUCAUGUUGAAUAGUUAGAACUGAAGUAUAAAUAUCGGUCUGCAUGUGUGGGUAAGCGAUAUAUGGUGGGUCUAAGUCAGCCAUCUUCGUUUAAGGUGUAUCAAGGUGCCUAGGAAUGGGACCUGAUCUUCUUGUUCUAGUGCAAACGUAAACUUGAUGUUCGGGUCGAUGCUAUUAAUUUAGAUGUAAAGAUGCGAUGUUGUACUCAUGUAUAACCACGAAGAUAUCGUCAACGUACCGAAACCAAACAGACGGAGGGUACGGUGCUGAAGGGAGUGCCUUGACCUCAAACUUUUCCAUAUACAGAUUUGCGAUAAUUGGGGACACUGUGAAACUGCCAGAUCACGGGAAUCAAGAUUUUCUGAAUAAUUAUGUGAAGACUAGAGGUAAAACACUUAGGCUACUGCUGUAGGAGAACUCAUCAAAUUGGCAAACCAUAGAAUUACUCAGAACAACAUCUCAGUUAUUCACCGAGAAGAAAGGUAUUGGUCAAGGAAAAUAAGAGAAUCUAUGGAAAUUCGGACCAGGCACCCCACCCUCAAUCGUGACCGUGAAUACGAGCUACCGGCAGUACUGAAUGAGAUGUUUUCACAUGAUCAUUCAAAUUCCAUUGCAUGCUUGAAUGAUCAAGUGGAUCUGUGUAAAUACAUCAGUUUCCCUCAAGAAGUUGCUGAGACAGUAACGAAAGCUUGGAAAUCGCAACGAGGCAAUUGUUGUAUUGACCAUAAUUGGAACUAUAGCCUCCGUUUUAUUACUUACCUUAAUAAUCACCGGAAUAAUGUGUUUCAUACAUCGAAAAAAUCAUGGUCACCAUGAAGUUCCAUACGGUAUCGGGCAGUAUGGUGGUGGCAAAGUUGUACGAAACUUUCACAGUUAUGGAUUUGGUGAUUCAGAUACUAUGACAUCAGACGAUAGUUUAAUGUAUCAAGUGACUAACGCAUUAAGAAUUGCAAACUUACAAGAAAGUGAAGUAGGUAGCAGCGCCGACGAAUUCAUUAGACCAUACGUGGCGGACGGAAGAGAAGAAAUGCGGGUGUACGGUAUCGAUGGAUUCUAUCGUGAGAAUUACACAGAAUCAGAUUAAAGAUGUAGAAGUUCAUGGAGAAAAACACCGAAACGUAACGGCAUACUGACAACGAAAGAGUAAAUACAUAUUAUAGCGAUUUGGGAUUAUUAAUUUUCGCGCAGGUAAAGGGGCUAAUGUAGACAUAUUAUUGAUGUACCAUUAAACUGUAAUUGUGACGUAGCGUGAAAUAGUUAUUAAUGUAGGCAAUUUUAUAUACAGUACUGUACUUGGAUACCCAUUUAUAUUGUAGCCUAUGUUUUGUAGUGUACAGUAAUUUGGCAGACUUGAUUGUCUUACUUUGAUUACAAUUUCACCUGUUUUUUAAUGUUUUUAAUAUAUUUACAUGUCACCUGUAUUGAUGGUGAAGGAUAUGGUUGAGCAUAAUUUAUAGAUAAGAAUAAGAAAAGCUAGUAGCUUGUUGGGAGUGUAAGGGGUUGUUAGAAAUUGUUUACAGAUGAGUUUUGCUUACAAUACUUGUGAAAUAUCGCGAGGACUUUUUCUACAUAGUCUUGUAGUACUGAGCACGCAUCUAUAGAGAAAGAAAUCAGCGCACAGCGCUCACAAUAGA